UGAGUAAUGUCUGGGAAACGUGCCUGAUGGAGGGGGAGUAACUACUGGAAACGGUAGCUAAUACCGCAUAACGUCGCAAGACCAAAGAGGGGGACCUUCGGGCCUCUUGCCAUCGGAUGUGCCCAGAUGGGAUUAGCUAGUAGGUGGGGUAACGGCUCACCUAGGCGACGAUCCCUAGCUGGUCUGAGAGGAUGACCAGCCACACUGGAACUGAGACACGGUCCAGACUCCUACGGGAGGCAGCAUG
RNAcentral lists this ribosomal RNA (247 nucleotides) under uncultured bacterium. RNAcentral describes it as "partial 16S ribosomal RNA". It matches the Rfam family "Bacterial small subunit ribosomal RNA", at positions 107 to 353 of the family's 1533-position model. The record is from RNAcentral.